This 492-nucleotide ribosomal RNA is filed under the name uncultured bacterium. RNAcentral describes it as "partial 16S ribosomal RNA". It matches the Rfam family "Bacterial small subunit ribosomal RNA", at positions 29 to 507 of the family's 1533-position model. The record is from RNAcentral.
AGUGAGCGCUGGCGGUAGGCCUAACACAUGCAAGUCGAACGGCAGCACAGUAAGAGCUUGCUCUUACGGGUGGCGAGUGGCGGACGGGUGCGGAAUACAUCGGAAUCUACUUUUUCGUGGGGGCUAACGUAGGGAAACUUACGCCAAUACCGCAUACGACGUACGGGUGAAAGCAGGGGAUCUUCGGACCUCGCGUGAUUCAAUGAGCGGAUGUCGGAUUAGUAAGUUGGCGGGGUAAAGGCCCACCAAUGCGACGAUCCGUAGCUGGUCUGAGAGGAUGAUCAGCCACACUGGAACUGAGACACGGUCCAGACUCCUACGGGAGGCAGCAGUGGGGAAUAUUGGACAAUGGGCGCAAGCCUGAUCCAGCCAUACCGCGUGGGUGAAGAAGGCCUUCGGGUUGUAAAGCCCUUUUGUUGGGAAAGAAAAGCAGCAGGUUAAUACCCCGCUGUUCUGACGGUACCAAAAGAAUAAGCACCGGCUAACUUCGUG